Molecule: ribosomal RNA, 761 nt
Filed under: Rhodococcus ruber
Lineage: Bacteria; Bacillati; Actinomycetota; Actinomycetes; Mycobacteriales; Nocardiaceae
Description: bacterial SSU rRNA
Rfam family: Bacterial small subunit ribosomal RNA
Source: RNAcentral
GCCCAGCUUGCUGGGUGGAUUAGUGGCGAACGGGUGAGUAACACGUGGGUGAUCUGCCCUGCACUUCGGGAUAAGCCUGGGAAACUGGGUCUAAUACCGGAUAGGACCUCGGGAUGCAUGUUCCGGGGUGGAAAGGUUUUCCGGUGCAGGAUGGGCCCGCGGCCUAUCAGCUUGUUGGUGGGGUAACGGCCCACCAAGGCGACGACGGGUAGCCGGCCUGAGAGGGCGACCGGCCACACUGGGACUGAGACACGGCCCAGACUCCUACGGGAGGCAGCAGUGGGGAAUAUUGCACAAUGGGCGCAAGCCUGAUGCAGCGACGCCGCGUGAGGGAUGACGGCCUUCGGGUUGUAAACCUCUUUCAGUACCGACGAAGCGCGAGUGACGGUAGGUACAGAAGAAGCACCGGCCAACUACGUGCCAGCAGCCGCGGUAAUACGUAGGGUGCGAGCGUUGUCCGGAAUUACUGGGCGUAAAGAGCUCGUAGGCGGUUUGUCGCGUCGUCUGUGAAAACCCGCAGCUCAACUGCGGGCUUGCAGGCGAUACGGGCAGACUUGAGUACUGCAGGGGAGACUGGAAUUCCUGGUGUAGCGGUGAAAUGCGCAGAUAUCAGGAGGAACACCGGUGGCGAAGGCGGGUCUCUGGGCAGUAACUGACGCUGAGGAGCGAAAGCGUGGGUAGCGAACAGGAUUAGAUACCCUGGUAGUCCACGCCGUAAACGGUGGGCGCUAGGUGUGGGUUUCCUUCCACGGGAUCCGUGC